Molecule: long non-coding RNA, 904 nt
Organism: Leopardus geoffroyi (Geoffroy's cat)
Lineage: Eukaryota; Metazoa; Chordata; Mammalia; Carnivora; Felidae
Exons: 2
Source: RefSeq, a predicted model, not a curated record
GGGGAGGCGCGCUCUGCCACCGUAACGCCCCUGCGUCGUGUGCAACCCUGGCCACCGACGACCACUGAAGUAGGGAGGAGAGAGAUGGCAGAAGAGGAGAGUCGCCGAGCCCGUCAUAUCUCGGAAAGGAAGGACACGCAGCCCGGCGCCGGGGACCUCAUCUCUGCGACCCGACGGGUGGCCUCUCACGACCCUGCCCUCCGCCAGCCCCUCGUCAGGCUGCACCUCCGCCUGGUGCCACGACCUAGACCGCCAUCCCCGAGGACUCCGAGCUCGCGCUGACCCCGCCGGCCUCGGGCCACCGCCGUCUUCGCCGACCGGCUCCCCCCCCACCCCAGGGCAUGGGAGUCCUGGGAGGGGCUGCGGUUACAUCGUCUUCCUUCCCGCCCCGCCGUGUACCGGCCGUCCUACGACCCCUCGUCCCCUCGGUAGUCCAGAAGUCAGACUCCAGCUCUUCCUCGAACCCGCCGGGUGACUUGGACACGUUGCUUAAUGUCCCCGUGACUCAGCGUCUUUGCUGGAGAAAUGGGAGUAACCCUUGCCAGAAGUGUCAUAGGAAACUUCCAGAGCUCACCGGUGCAGGCUGGAGGUGCGGAAGCGGGCAGGUGUGACCGGGCCUAUGGGGAGUGUGGCCUACCUGCUCCUGGCAAUUUACCUGGGCUCAAGGUGACAUGGCUUUGCUCCAAAACCCGGACCCCCCCCCCCCCCCAUCUCUUCCAUUAGCACUUGCCAGGACCAGGAGGCAGAGGAGCAGGACAGAAUGGGGUUCCCGCUUCCGCUCUGGGACCCCCACAGCAGUCCCGAACUUCUUGCCUCUGGACUCCUUUUAAUGGAAAAACUCUUGAUUACGUCACUGUUCUUCCCUGUUGCUGUUACUUGAAGUAAAAGGCAAUUACCUAAUUGA